RNAcentral lists this ribosomal RNA (497 nucleotides) under uncultured bacterium. RNAcentral's name for it is "partial 16S ribosomal RNA". It matches the Rfam family "Bacterial small subunit ribosomal RNA", at positions 28 to 507 of the family's 1533-position model. The record is from RNAcentral.
GAUGAACGCUGGCGGCGUGCCUAAUACAUGCAAGUCGAGCGAACAGACGAGGAGCUUGCUCCUCUGACGUUAGCGGCGGACGGGUGAGUAACACGUGGAUAACCUACCUAUAAGACUGGGAUAACUUCGGGAAACCGGAGCUAAUACCGGACAAUAUAUUGAACCGCAUGGUUUAAUAGUGUAAGACGGUUCUGCUGUUACUUAUAGAUGGCUCCGCGCCGCAUUAGCUAGUUGGUAAGGUAACGGCUUACCAAGGCAACGAUGCGUAGCCGCCCUGAGAGGGUGACCGGCCACUGUGGAACUGAGACACGGGCCAAGCGCCCACGGGAGCCAGCAGUAGGGAAUAUUCCGCAAAGGGCGAAAGCCUGACGGAGCAACGCCGUGUGGGUGAUGAAGGUCCUCGGAUCGUAAAACUCUGUUAUUAGGGAAGAACAAAUGUGUAAGUAACUAUGCACGUCUUGACGGUACCUAAUCAGAAAGCCACGGCUAACUACGUG